CGGAGGAUCCAAGCGUUAUCCGGAAUCAUUGGGUUUAAAGGGUCCGUAGGCGGUUUGGUAAGUCAGUGGUGAAAGCCCAUCGCUCAACGGUGGAACGGCCAUUGAUACUGCCAGACUUGAAUUACUGGGAAGUAACUAGAAUAUGUAGUGUAGCGGUGAAAUGCUUAGAGAUUACAUGGAAUACCAAUUGCGAAGACAGGUUACUACCGGUGGAUUGACGCUGAUGGACGAAAGCGUGGGUAGCGAACAGGAUUAGAUACCCUGGUAGUCCACGCCGUAAACGAUGGAUACUAGCUGUUGGUGGCAACAUCAGUGGCUAAGCGAAAGUGAUAAGUAUCCCACCUGGGGAGUACGUUCGCAAGAAUG
This 366-nucleotide ribosomal RNA is filed under the name uncultured organism. RNAcentral describes it as "bacterial SSU rRNA". It matches the Rfam family "Bacterial small subunit ribosomal RNA", at positions 526 to 896 of the family's 1533-position model. The record is from RNAcentral.